This 460-nucleotide ribosomal RNA is filed under the name uncultured bacterium. RNAcentral's name for it is "partial 16S ribosomal RNA". It matches the Rfam family "Bacterial small subunit ribosomal RNA", at positions 338 to 795 of the family's 1533-position model. The record is from RNAcentral.
CCUACGGGCGGCAGCAGUGAGGAAUAUUGGUCAAUGGACGAGAGUCUGAACCAGCCACGUAGCGUGAAGGAUGACUGCCCUCUGGGCUGUAAACUUCUUUUAUAUGGGAAUAAAACGUUUCUCGUGUGGGGUUUUGUAUGUACCAUAUGAACAAGGAUCGGCGAACUCCGUGCCAGCAGCCGCGGCAAUACGGAGGAUCCGAGCGUUACCCGGAUUUAUUGGGCUUAAAGGGAGCGUAGGUGGAUUGUUAAGUCAGGUGUGAAAGUUUGCGGCUCAACCGUAAAAUUGCAGUUGAAACUGGCAGUCUUGAGUACAGUAGAGGUGAGUGGAAUUCGAGGUGUAGCGGUGAAAUGCUUAGAUAUCAGGAAGAACACCGGUUGCGAAGGCGGUUCACUGGACUGCAACUGACAUUGAUGCUCGAAAGUGUGGGUAGCAAACAGGAUUAGAUACCCUGGUAGUC